AGGUGAUUUUCUUAGGGUCACACGGUGAUACCUUGUUGUGAUGAAUAUAUACAGCUAGUAGAACUUUUGAUUAAUGUGAGUGCGGCAGAUUUAUUGCAACAGGGGCUCCAAUUCUUUUCUUCUCUCUAUCCAAGCACCAUGGGAUGUAACUUUGUAGCUCCUCCCAUCAAGAAGUCUACUCAAGAGGUCUCAUUGAGGUCUACUUCCUGUACCUCCAAACCUGGGUUGGCUUUGAGACUUGCUUUGACCUAUAGGAAGAAAAUCUGAACCAGAAACAGUAUGGCAGAAUUGGGAUCUGACUCACAGAGGGAAGAACUUAUAAUUCUUCACAGACGCCUAAAUACCUGACGUGUGACAGCAAAUGCCUGUUCCCAUGGAGCUGCUGCUUCUGAGAAAGCUUGAAACAGACAAAGAAUAAGGUAGAAAUGACCUCCUCACUAGAGAUGAAAAGAAGCUGUCCUGGUGAGGAAAUUGGAUCCCAGCUUUUGCCGCUAAGAUUCUUCUCUUCUGCCUCUGGUUUUCUUUAUUGUUCACCCCCAGAAGCAAUCGCUCUCUCACAAGGCAACACACGCAAUAGAGUGAACAGUGAUUCUACAGUCUGAUUCUGGAAAAGGCGACCACAGUGGAAAGAGUGAUCCACACAAGUAUAGGGCCUCCUGAUUAAAACACUAAGAUUUCAUCUCACGCUGUGCCUUUAUACUGUUGAGAUACUAAAGAGGACACUAAAGAUCAAAGUGCUACUUUACAACAUUUUGAAGAAAACAACUGCUACCUGUGUAUUAGUUUGUGCAGAUGUGUUACACAGCUUAGCUGUGUCUGUACCAGUUUAUUAGAAUCAAAGUAUUUUUAAAGUACCUAAGGCCAGGCACAGUGGCUCACACCUGUAAUCCCAGCACUUUGGGAGGCUGAGGCAAG
Molecule: long non-coding RNA, 915 nt
Filed under: Homo sapiens (human)
Lineage: Eukaryota; Metazoa; Chordata; Mammalia; Primates; Hominidae
Description: non-protein coding LINC00844:7
Source: RNAcentral